GGUACCAUAGUGUAGUGGUUAGCACAUCUGCUUCAUGCGCAGAAGGUCCUGGGUUUGAGCCGCAGUGGAACCA
RNAcentral lists this transfer RNA (73 nucleotides) under Canis lupus familiaris (dog). RNAcentral describes it as "tRNA-Met (CAT) (tRNA-Met-CAT-8-1)". It matches the Rfam family "tRNA". From Rfam's summary of the family: Transfer RNA (tRNA) molecules are approximately 80 nucleotides in length. Their secondary structure includes four short double-helical elements and three loops (D, anti-codon, and T loops). RNAcentral also lists the same sequence under 1 other name. The record is from Rfam by way of RNAcentral. Lineage: Eukaryota; Metazoa; Chordata; Mammalia; Carnivora; Canidae.